This 301-nucleotide ribosomal RNA is filed under the name uncultured bacterium. RNAcentral's name for it is "partial 16S ribosomal RNA". It matches the Rfam family "Bacterial small subunit ribosomal RNA", at positions 509 to 807 of the family's 1533-position model. The record is from RNAcentral.
CAGUAGCCGCGGUAAUACGUAGGGUGCGAGCGUUAAUCGGAAUUACUGGGCGUAAAGCGUGCGCAGGCGGUUGUGUAAGACAGGUGUGAAAUCCCCGGGCUUAACCUGGGAACUGCGCUUGUGACUGCACAGCUAGAGUAUGGCAGAGGGGGGUGGAAUUCCACGUGUAGCAGUGAAAUGCGUAGAGAUGUGGAGGAACACCGAUGGCGAAGGCAGCCCCCUGGGCCAAUACUGACGCUCAUGCACGAAAGCGUGGGGAGCAAACAGGAUUAGAUACCCCAGUAGUCCCUGUCUCUUAUAC